AAAUAGGUAAGCUAAAAAAGCUACUGGGUUCAUACCCCACUUAUAAAGGUCUAUUCCUUUCUUAUUUA
This 68-nucleotide transfer RNA is filed under the name Lucanus kanoi kanoi. RNAcentral describes it as "tRNA-Met". It matches the Rfam family "tRNA". From Rfam's summary of the family: Transfer RNA (tRNA) molecules are approximately 80 nucleotides in length. Their secondary structure includes four short double-helical elements and three loops (D, anti-codon, and T loops). Lineage: Eukaryota; Metazoa; Arthropoda; Insecta; Coleoptera; Lucanidae. RNAcentral also lists the same sequence under 1 other name. The record is from RNAcentral.